This 312-nucleotide long non-coding RNA is filed under the name Theobroma cacao (cacao). RNAcentral's name for it is "long non-coding RNA (TCAC_LNC000473)". Lineage: Eukaryota; Viridiplantae; Streptophyta; Magnoliopsida; Malvales; Malvaceae. The record is from RNAcentral.
AAGCUAUGGGGUUACGUGGCAAGUGUCGUCAAUUGGACGAACACAUAAAUGGCAUCCGGUACGUUUCCCUCCCAACGUGUCACUUCGCUAAGUUUGUGUGGGCUUUCCUCCUUCCCAAUUUGGUUAGUUGUAAAUAUGUUAGGCACGAUGCGCCAUUUGAAUUGUAUAAGGGUUGUUAUGUAUGAACCCGAUUGACUGACCAGUGUAUGGCCUUACGAACGUUUGUAUGGACUGUGAGCCAGGGAUAAUGUAAUAUAUUUGAAUUUGUUAUAAAUAUUUGAUUAUGGAAUCCCUUGGCUUUGAGUUAUAUGG